This 573-nucleotide long non-coding RNA is filed under the name Mytilus galloprovincialis (Mediterranean mussel). The record is from RNAcentral. Lineage: Eukaryota; Metazoa; Mollusca; Bivalvia; Mytilida; Mytilidae.
CAUGUUCAAUCUUUAGGAGCUAUUAUUUAUAUACUAAAGAAGUCAAUAACAAUGCAAGAUCUAAGUUCACUAGGGUUAAGUGAACUACCUUGAUUGGCCACUUGCAUGUCCUUUGAACUGUUAUCAGACAUCUAUGAUACAUUCUGAUGUAAAACAAAGCAUAUGAAGUUCAAGUAUUCACUGCAACACCUUAAGCUAAAAUCUGUAUAUUACUUCACUAAUUGAUAUUUAUGUAGAUUCUCUUUUUUACAGAGCUACACUUGGAGCAAUAGGAGGAUUUUUAGAUGCCUUCCAGAAAGUGGCCGACAUGGCCACUGGGUCUAGAGGUAAGGUUUUAAAACUGAAUAAUUGGCUAAACCUUCAAUCAUGAAUAGUUCAUCACGCAUAUGUCCUACCUCAUGUGUGAUAAAUCUUAUGUGGCUGCAUAGUUAAAUAUUUUAGACUGUGGUAACGCCUUCUUCAUGUAUGCUUAGUUUACAGAGAACUACAUGUAUACUGCAUGAGAACAAGUGAUGGUUUGUUCUAAAGAAUUCUAAGUCCGUGGAUUGAAUUGUUAAUUAUCUUUGGAGGGUC